Molecule: ribosomal RNA, 482 nt
Filed under: uncultured bacterium
Lineage: Bacteria
Description: bacterial SSU rRNA
Rfam family: Bacterial small subunit ribosomal RNA
Source: RNAcentral
CAGGAUGAACGCUGGCGGCGUGCUUAACACAUGCAAGUCGAACGGAGUAAUAUGAAGUUUCGGACGGAUAUACUAGUGGCGGACGGGUGAGUAACGCGUGGGUAACCUACCUCAUACAGGGGGAUAACAGUUGGAAACGACUGCUAACACCGCAUAACAAGUUGGGACCGCAUGAUCCUAACUUCAAAUAUUUAUAGGUAUGAGAUGGGCCCGCGUCUGAUUAGCUAGUUGGUGGGGUAAUGGCCUACCAAGGCGACGAUCAGUAGCCGGCUUGAGAGAGUGACCGGCCACAUUGGGACUGAGACACGGCCCAAACUCCUACGGGAGGCAGCAGUGGGGAAUAUUGGACAACGGGGGCAACCCUGAUCCAGCGAACCGCCGCGUGAGUGAAGAAGUAUUUCGGUAUGUAAAGCUCUAUCAGCAGGGAAGAUAAUGACAGUACCUGACUAAGAAGCCCCGGCUAACUACGUGCCAGCCGCUGC